RNAcentral lists this unclassified non-coding RNA (915 nucleotides) under Eurytemora carolleeae. RNAcentral's name for it is "protein quiver". Lineage: Eukaryota; Metazoa; Arthropoda; Copepoda; Calanoida; Temoridae. The record is from RNAcentral.
AUAAUGUACUGCUAGAAUGUUUGUACAGUUUGUUUUUGUACUGCUGGGUCUGGAGGUGUGUACUAGGGUGGAGGGGAUAACCUGUUAUAUCUGUGAGUCCUAUAGAGAUUUUAGAUGUUUAGAUCCAUUCGAUUAUCAGCCCUUUGUGCAGAUGAACUGUGACCAGGCAAGCUGGGUUCGGGAGAAGAAUCCUGUUUUCUGUGAGAAAAGGACCGAGGUUGUUGACGGGGUUUACGUGACAACACGAGGCUGCAGUAUAGAUUUCAAAUGGGAGGAUGUACAGGAGUACGCGGAUCACAGGGGAGGACGGAUACCUUGUAUCCGGAGAGGAAGGAAGGAAACUUGUCUUUGCACCGAGGAUAGAUGUAACUCUUCUAAAUCCUUGAACCUGGUUUUCUCUUUCCCAGUUCUUCUUAUCCUAACAUUUGUUUUCCAAUCCUUCUCAUCUUAAUCUUCUCAUUAAACCUCCAUUCUAAAAUUCCUGAAAUCAUCCUAACUUUUUCUCAUCCAUUUCCUUCGAUUAUAAAAAUUCUUGACCAUUUGGUAUUAUUUCAAUAUAAUAGUGACCCUCAAGUAUAAUCAAACACAAAUUUAUAAAUCCACAUAAAAGCAUAUUGUCAUUUAUUGCGUAUUUGCGAUUAUAUUAGACAAUUAGUGUAAAAGUAUAUAAUCCAUUAUAUAAACUUAAACAAUGCUAUAAUAACAUAAUUGUUUACAUGAUGAAUAUUAUAAAUAUUAUGUGUAUAUAUUAUUUUUAGUUUUCCAAGAAAUGUAAUUAUUACAAAACUGAACAUGUUUACCUGAAAAAUGAUCUAGAACAUUCCGUCCAAUCUACUCAAUCGAUAUUUUUAAACAUUUAUAUUUUUAUAUAACGUUAUAUUUGUUGUGUUUGUAUAUAUGUAAUCUCUUCAGAAA